RNAcentral lists this ribosomal RNA (497 nucleotides) under uncultured bacterium. RNAcentral describes it as "partial 16S ribosomal RNA". It matches the Rfam family "Bacterial small subunit ribosomal RNA", at positions 28 to 507 of the family's 1533-position model. The record is from RNAcentral.
GAUGAACGCUGGCGGCGUGCCUAAUACAUGCAAGUCGAGCGAACAGACGAGGAGCUUGCUCCUCUGACGUUAGCGGCGGACGGGUGAGUAACACGUGGAUAACCUACCUAUAAGACUGGGAUAACUUCGGGAAACCGGCGCUAAUACCGGAUAAUAUAUUGAACCGCAUGGUUCAAUAGUGAAAGACGGUUUUGCUGUCACUUAUAGAUGGAUCCGCGCCGCAUUAGCUAGUUGGUAAGGUAACGGCUUACCAAGGCAACGAUGCGUAGCCGACGUGAGAGGGUGAUCGGCCACACUGGAACUGAGACACGGUCCAGACUCCUACGGGAGGCAGCAGUAGGGAAUCUUCCGCAAUGGGCGAAAGCCUGACGGAGCAACGCCGCGUGAGUGAUGAAGGUCUUCGGAUCGUAAAACUCUGUUAUUAGGGAAGAACAAAUGUGUAAGUAACUAUGCACGUCUUGACGGUACCUAAUCAGAAAGCCACGGCUAACUACGUG